RNAcentral lists this unclassified non-coding RNA (279 nucleotides) under plant metagenome. RNAcentral describes it as "partial contains small subunit ribosomal RNA, internal transcribed spacer 1, and 5.8S ribosomal RNA". The record is from RNAcentral.
UUUCCGUAGGUGAACCUGCGGAAGGAUCAUUAAUGAUUAGCGGUUGUGCGACGGCUGACGCUGAUACGCACCGUCGGUCCCGCGCGAGCGCUUUCCCACAUAUCCAUCUCCCCCCAAUGUCUACUACCUCAUGUGUCUCCCUUAAGCCUGUUCGGAGGAAGCCUUACGCUUUCACCCAUCCUCAACAUGCCGUUUGGCAUGUAUUUCUUGUAUUAGCGAACCCGCAAUCAAUACCACAUUCAUCAACUGAUCUCUUGGCUCUCGAACCGAUGAACAACC